GGAUUGCCUGCCUUUACAAUAUCUAUCUAUGUUAUGUAAUUUGCAGGACCCGGAGUUUCCCUGUUGACAAGGCAAAGCCAGGGUCCAACAUGUGAUAUGUGCCGUGGAAUGGACCACUCCUUCACACUGAGGGCUGAGAAUGUGCGUCAUUGUCUUGGUUGGCUGAUCAACAUGACAGAGACAAGCAGUUAUACAACAUCUGCGCAGAUGUGAUCAUGAGGCCUAAUAGAUUGGCAACAGCCACAAGCAUCUUCAGCCUCAUCUCUUCAUCAGUGGAGGAGGAGGAGAAGAAGAAGAAGAAGAAGAGAGCCCGUGCGUGUCCUGGUGAAAGCCUCGCAUGUGUGUAAAGUUGUGUAACAGGGUCGUCGAGACGUUCGCCCCUCUCUAUCACUUUGGAGAUGUUCUCCUGCAUCACAUCGAUCACCUCAUCGACCUGCGACUGCACCCUGAGGACGCAGAUUGGUCACAAACAACAGGCCCGAGUCAUAAAUCACAAAAGUUGCCAGGCAAUAAAAAGCCUGUCAAAUAGCUUUCAGCCUCACUGUGACCUGCCUGCACCGGCUGAGUAUCUCCAGAAUUCUGUUCAAAUCCUGUUUUAUUCAGGUGACUCAUGCCAGAGUGUGGCAUGACAACACAUUACCCUUCAGUCACUCAUAUUUCAAAGCAAUGAAGCCAUGAAAGGAGCGUGGAGAAACAACUCUGGGUGCCAGACUGCCUCAACAAUGACCUCUUCUGUUCUCUGCCUGUCUGUGACUGGAGGUCCAAACCUGGGUCCUGUGGGCCCUCUCCUGGAAAACAGACGUUGACGAAGCCAAAAUUACCAAUUUAAUGAAGGAUGGGAAACAUGAAGGGAGCUGUUAGCUAUUAUCAGAGGACAGGAGGUUGGGCACUAAAGGGGAAGCAUGGGAUCGCCAGCCUGACAGUUUUCGACUAUCCCCUGCUCCCUGAUGAUGGUGUGAGGCAAAAUCCCUCCAAGCACCAGCUCUCCCUCCAUCUGGGUCUCACCCUCUCACUGCGAAUAGAUCCCGUGACCUCGUCAUCGUUGAGGUGUCGUUUAAACUUGGGGGGCAUGUUGGCUUCAGGCUGCUCCUCCCGAUCUGGCUCCCUCUGCAGGACAGGAGGAGAAGAAGUUUAGCAACAGUCACACACCUGCUCUGAGCAACAAUGGUCCUGCUGAUAAUAAUAUUGGUAUGUGGAAGUAAGUAAUUUGAAUUGCAGGCAUAACCACAGCCAGGUCUUGCCUGAGAGCAGAACACAGAGAACAAAGGAAGAAGUGUUUGAGCUGAGUGAGACUCUAAAUCUAAACUCUACUCAUGACAAUAAAAUUCACUGGCUUAGUAAUGAUUUCAUAAAGAAGACUGGUCAUCAUCGAGCGAUCUGAGGAAGAUUCUAUCCCCAGCUCUUCCUGUUAAAGAGGCUGACUUUGUUAUUAGUCACAGAGCUGAUUUCUUUCAUUUCCUCUGCAGCCUAAUUUUCAAAUGGAACAUUUUAAUAAAGUGGCUCUUUUAUUGUGCCUGCUCUCUUUAAAGUAACAGCUUAAUACCUUCUCAGUAAACAAAACUUUAGAGCAUAUUAAGAUAUCCUAUUAAGAUGUCUUAAUUUGUAAUAUUUCUGCUGUGAGCAGUCAGUAAGGCUCACUAGCUAUGAAAGGAAAUGUCAUCAUUGCUGUGUGUGCCUUUGGAUGAAAAUGUCUAUGAUGUCGGAUGUGGAAAACACACUG
Molecule: long non-coding RNA, 1720 nt
Organism: Toxotes jaculatrix (banded archerfish)
Lineage: Eukaryota; Metazoa; Chordata; Actinopteri; Toxotidae
Exons: 7
Source: RefSeq, a predicted model, not a curated record